AAAAGUUUGUUCAUGAGCUGUCAUGCUCGCUGGGCGAGCAGAAUGGGUCGCCUAGCGAGUCCCAAGAAAAGCCACCAGAAUCACCUACGCUCAGAGGAAUUUCUUGAACUGUCAUGCUCGCUAGGCGAAGCCCACGUGUUUAAAAAUAAAUAAAAAAUAAAAAAACGAAAAUAAAUAAAUAAAUAAAAUAUAACUGAAUUUUUUUGGACUUGGGCCUCUCUCAUUUGAGCCCACAGGUCCAUAAAAACCAGGUUAUAAAUUCAGAGUUUCAGUGAAACAAAAGGCAAUUCUAUUCC
This 296-nucleotide long non-coding RNA is filed under the name Lathyrus oleraceus (garden pea). Its description in RNAcentral is "Pisum sativum (pea) long non-coding RNA (PSAT_LNC034480)". The record is from RNAcentral. Lineage: Eukaryota; Viridiplantae; Streptophyta; Magnoliopsida; Fabales; Fabaceae.